RNAcentral lists this non-coding RNA (24 nucleotides) under Arabidopsis thaliana (thale cress). Lineage: Eukaryota; Viridiplantae; Streptophyta; Magnoliopsida; Brassicales; Brassicaceae. The record is from RNAcentral.
AUGCAGUUACAGUACACAAGUGGG